AGCAGUCGCCACGGUAAUACGUAGGUCCCGAGCGUUGUCCGGAUUUAUUGGGCGUAAAGCGAGCGCAGGCGGUUAGGUAAGUCUGAAGUUAAAGGCCGUGGCUCAACCAUAGUUCGCUUUGGAAACUGUCAAACUUGAGUGCAGAAGGGGAGAGUGGAGUUCCAUGUGUAGCGGUGAAAUGCGUAGAUAUAUGGAGGAACACCGGUGGCGAAAGCGGCUCUCUGGUCUGUAACUGACGCUGAGGCUCGAAAGCGUGGGGAGCGAACAGGAUUAGAUACCCCCGUAGUCCCUGUCUCUUAUACC
RNAcentral lists this ribosomal RNA (303 nucleotides) under uncultured bacterium. Its description in RNAcentral is "partial 16S ribosomal RNA". It matches the Rfam family "Bacterial small subunit ribosomal RNA", at positions 507 to 808 of the family's 1533-position model. The record is from RNAcentral.